UACAGAGGUCUCAACCGUUGUUCGGAUUCAUUGGGCGUAAAGGGUGCGUAGGCGGCGCGGUAAGUCGGGUGUGAAAUCUCGGAGCUUAACUCCGAAACUGCGUUCGAUACUGCCGUGCUUGAGGACUGGAGAGGAGACUGGAAUUUACGGUGUAGCGGUGAAAUGCGCAGAUAUCGGGAGGAACACCAAUGGCGAAGGCAGCUCGCUGGGACGGUACUGACGCUGAGGCGCGAAAGCGUGGGGAGCAAACAGG
RNAcentral lists this ribosomal RNA (253 nucleotides) under uncultured bacterium. RNAcentral's name for it is "partial 16S ribosomal RNA". It matches the Rfam family "Bacterial small subunit ribosomal RNA", at positions 524 to 776 of the family's 1533-position model. The record is from RNAcentral.